RNAcentral lists this ribosomal RNA (688 nucleotides) under Clausocalanus lividus. Its description in RNAcentral is "eukaryotic LSU rRNA". It matches the Rfam family "Eukaryotic large subunit ribosomal RNA", at positions 1 to 632 of the family's 3401-position model. The record is from RNAcentral. Lineage: Eukaryota; Metazoa; Arthropoda; Copepoda; Calanoida; Clausocalanidae.
UCGACCUGAGAUUAGAUAAGAUUACCCGCCGAAUUUAAGCAUAUUAAUAAGCGGAGGAAAAGAAAACAACUGUGAUUCCCCUAGUAAUGGCGAAUGAACCGGGAACAGCCCAUCGCGUAACUGCAGGUCAUCUUGGCCUCGCGGAAUGUCGCGUUUGGGAGAGUCUCAUCGGGAGCCGGACGGCCAGUCAAAGUCCAACUUGACAGUGGCCACUGCCCAUAGAGGGUGAUAGGCCCGUAAGGCGGCCGUCCGUUUCCGCCGACUUUUCCCUAGAGUCGGGUUGCUUGGGAGUGCAGCCCAAAGUGCGAGGUAAACUCCUCGUAAGGCUAAAUACGACCCCGAGACCGAUAGCAAACAAGUACCGUGAGGGAAAAUUGAAAAGAACUUUGAAGAGAGAGUUCAAGAGUACGUGAAACUGUGUGGUGGUAAACGGAGGGGUUCUCGAAGUCUCUGUGGGGAACUCAGCCUCGGUGUCGGGCGGUCAGGGUGUGUCCGAUCAGCAAUGACGGCGCUCUCUGUCUGGCUUGGCUCCUGGGUGCAUUUUCUCCGCAGUUUACGGCAGGAACCGUUUGGCUCGGAUCGAAGGCCCUGGGUGAAGUUGUCGGUUCUGCUGGCAGCCCCGGGUGUCCUGCUCCGCGCCCGACGGGUACGUGAGAGGACUCGUAUAGCGAGCAACGCUCUGUUGCGU